UGCAGUCGAGCGGACAGAUGGGAGCUUGCUCCCUGAUGUUAGCGGCGGACGGGUGAGUAACACGUGGGUAACCUGCCUGUAAGACUGGGAUAACUCCGGGAAACCGGGGCUAAUACCGGAUGGUUGUUUGAACCGCAUGGUUCAGACAUAAAAGGUGGCUUCGGCUACCACUUACAGAUGGACCCGCGGCGCAUUAGCUAGUUGGUGAGGUAACGGCUCACCAAGGCAACGAUGCGUAGCCGACCUGAGAGGGUGAUCGGCCACACUGGGACUGAGACACGGCCCAGACUCCUACGGGAGGCAGCAGUAGGGAAUCUUCCGCAAUGGACGAAAGUCUGACGGAGCAACGCCGCGUGAGUGAUGAAGGUUUUCGGAUCGUAAAGCUCUGUUGUUAGGGAAGAACAAGUGCCGUUCAAAUAGGGCGGCACCUUGACGGUACCUAACCAGAAAGCCACGGCUAACUACGUGCCAGCAGCCGCGGUAAUACGUAGGUGGCAAGCGUUGUCCGGAAUUAUUGGGCGUAAAGGGCUCGCAGGCGGUUUCUUAAGUCUGAUGUGAAAGCCCCCGGCUCAACCGGGGAGGGUCAUUGGAAACUGGGGAACUUGAGUGCAGAAGAGGAGAGUGGAAUUCCACGUGUAGCGUGAAAUGCGUAGAGAUGUGGAGGAACACCAGUGGCGAAGGCGACUCUCUGGACUGUAACUGACGCUGAGGAGCGAAAGCGUGG
RNAcentral lists this ribosomal RNA (724 nucleotides) under Bacillus amyloliquefaciens. Its description in RNAcentral is "bacterial SSU rRNA". It matches the Rfam family "Bacterial small subunit ribosomal RNA", at positions 56 to 764 of the family's 1533-position model. Lineage: Bacteria; Bacillati; Bacillota; Bacilli; Caryophanales; Bacillaceae. The record is from RNAcentral.